GCAGCCUGUAGCACGAUGACGUAGCUGGAUCAGAUCCAAUACGUACUGGACGUUGUCACGAGCAUGCGCGGUGGUGUGUUUCGGUGACGUCAUAGACGCAUGCGCAGUAGAGAGUUGGUAAACGAUCGCACGUGCUUUGGUCUUCCUAGAAGAGUCUACAGAAAACGGUGGAUUAAUUAACAGUGAUUGUUUAUCGAUGAAUGUCUUUAAAAAGGGCAGUUGUCCAGUAAUUUCAAGGUGCACAAGGUGCUGUAACCAGUACCACUGCCCUUUUUGUGAGACGUACAAAACCACAUCACAACUAUCCAUUGAUAACCAUGUAGAGGAUCAUCUAAAAUUGGCAGUAAAUCAUGAUGAUUUUGUGAUUGUUAAGUGCAAUUCACACUGUAGAGAAAAUGCACAUUUUCAUUGCUGUUACUGUCCUGCUACAGUAAUAAGAAAAGUGCAGUUAAUUACUCAUCUUAAAAAAUGUAAACAAAAGUUGGCUAUUCCUGGGCAGGAAGCUCAGUCUCCAUUCCUGCAUAGCCCAGCAGCCACUGCUCCACUUUCUACUAUUUCAGCACAGACUUCUCAUGUCAUUACACAGGCGCCUCCCCUGUCUUGCCCCAUGGCUAUCCAA
Molecule: long non-coding RNA, 619 nt
Organism: Carassius auratus (goldfish)
Lineage: Eukaryota; Metazoa; Chordata; Actinopteri; Cypriniformes; Cyprinidae
Exons: 3
Source: RefSeq, a predicted model, not a curated record